Molecule: transfer RNA, 75 nt
Filed under: Betaproteobacteria bacterium
Lineage: Bacteria; Pseudomonadati; Pseudomonadota; Betaproteobacteria
Description: tRNA-Phe
Rfam family: tRNA
About the family: Transfer RNA (tRNA) molecules are approximately 80 nucleotides in length.
Source: RNAcentral
GCAUCGAUAGUUCCAAUGUAGAACGGCGGCCUGAAGAGCCGCGCGCUGGUGGUUCAAGUCCAUCUCGAUGCACCA